This 5769-nucleotide long non-coding RNA is filed under the name Heterocephalus glaber (naked mole-rat). RNAcentral's name for it is "lncRNA (ENSHGLG00000034944.1)". Lineage: Eukaryota; Metazoa; Chordata; Mammalia; Rodentia; Bathyergidae. The record is from RNAcentral.
GUGAGUUGUAGCUUGACUGCUUACGUCAUCCAAAAUGAAGGUCAGCUUCAUCACUGGCAUCACGAAUCUACUCACACUGUGGGACCUCUGCUGGUCUUUACAACCAAACGCCCGCCUCCACUUCUUGCUAAGAUAGUCAGCUUUGUUCAGCUCUGGAGCCCGUGACCUGUGGUCCCACAGAACAUGGUCCAGGCCCUGGUCAGUGCGGCUCUGUGACCCAUUCCAGCCCAGGAGAUACAAGAAGAGGUCCGACAGUGCCUUCCGGGACGGAUUAUCACUUUAAAGUGGUUAUGUAAGGACAGGAGACUUUACCCCUGGGGGUGGACAAGGCAGGGCACUCAGCUCUGAGUUACCAUGGACUCGCUGAUCUAAGGCCACAGCCACCUCCCUCAGCCCCAGCCUCGAGACUUCUUCUUGUUCUUUGAGGGAAGCUAAGCAGCCUUGGCUGCCUGGAGCAUCCUUGGCUGUUGUAACCACCCAUCCCACGCAGAGCUGCUGACACUUCUGGGCGGCCAGCUGGUCCAUGCACACUUCUGGCGUUCACUUCUGGCUCAGCUUCUCUGGAUGUCUCUCUGCACCCUAUUCCCACCCGUGGGCUGGUGCAGAAUGAGUGAGUCAGGGCUAGGGUGAGAGGUGGUCAAGGAUCAAAGACCACACUUGGACAGGUGCUUUCCGGUGGAGCUAAUGCAGCCAAGCCCUGCCUGGAGGGAGCAGGGAGAUGAGGCGAGGGACAGACAACGAGACUGAGCUAAGAGGGGCUGAGAGCCAUGCAGGUGGGAGCAGAGAGAGCGGGAGGCUUGGGAAGACUCCGGAAGGGCAAAGUCCCUGGGUGAGAGAGAAGGCCACCACCCAGACCUGAAGCCCCUCAGUGUGCCCAAACCCGGGCUCUUCUGCUUUGCCUCGACUAGAGUACACGCCUGUCUGCUGCCAGUGUGGAGGAGGGAAGCCUUUGGGGCUGAACUGUAUCCCCUGGCACCUUGGAGAACCUACAGCACGAGUGCCGUAGCGGGCUGUUUCUAUCACUGAAAGCUCUGAGAGGUUCGCCAUUUCGCCAUCACUGCCCUGGGCUAUUUAUGGAGACAGAGCCCUGAAAGAUGCAACUGAGGUAAACGGAGGUCAUCAGACGGCCCCCAGGCCUGGUGUGCUUAGGAGACCAGUGGGAAGGCCCCGGGAAGACGCAGGAAAAUGCUCACCCAGCAGUCAAGGAGAGGCCACGAAGAACCCGACCUUGCUGGCACCUUGGUUCUUGACUUCUCUCACCCAGACUGAGAGAAGAUUCCUCUCUGCUAUUCCAAGCACGCGAUUGGUGGCCGUCUGCUAUGGCAGCCCCAGAGAGAGGUCAGCAGAAGGGAGCUCAACCCUGCCAGAUGGAGCUGGGACCCUGGGGCCAAUCACUUUUUGUGUUUUAUUUAUUUAUUAUUUUUUGAGGUCCAGGAACUGCUGAGCUACAUCUUCAGCCCUUUUUUAAAAUUUUAGUUUGAGUCAGGGUCUCACUAAGCUGCCCAGGCUGGGCUCAAACCUGUGACCCUACUGCCUCAGCUUCCAGAGUAGCUGGGAUGACAGGUGUGUGCCACUUCACCUAGAACUUAAUAGCUUUCAUGCUGUUUUGAUUUUUGGUGCUGGGGAUUAAAGCUGGGACCUCAUGCGCACUAAGCAUGUGCUCUGCCUCAGCCUAAGGAGCAGCUUUGAACCAAGCUCUUGAACCAAUCAGCAGGGUACCAGCCACAGUCACUUUCUAAUCUCCAAAUAUUGUCAUCUUUAAUCCUCUCAUCUCCUCUUACUCCUCUAUCAGUGAGGAUUCAGGAAGGAGCAGAGGAAAAGACAUGUAUUUCCUGGCAUUGUAAAAUUAUUACUGUUGCUAUCAUUACUAGUAGUGGUUACUUUCAGCACGGGGGCUUGAAGCCAGGGCCUUGUGGAUGUUAGGCACGCACUCUGCCUCUGAGCCACACUCCAGCUCAGGAUGAUGCAUUUGGCAGCUCCGCAGCACAAAACAGUCACCACUCUGAAAGAAAUAUGCAAUCUUUAGCAGCAGCUGGCUGAAUAAGCACCCCCAGACUGCAAGGGAACAGCCAUUUAAUGCUCAGCUGGUUAAGCUGUGAAUCCUGAUAUUAAUUUCAAAUUCAGAUUCAUUUUCUUCUUCCCAAGUUUCCUUCUUUUUGUUUUGUUUUGUUUUGUUUUGCUUUUUGGUACCGGGGAUCGAACUCGGGACCUUUCGCUUUCGAGGCAGGUGCAGGAACCACUGAGCUAAAUCCCCAGCCCCCCCAAGUUUCCUUCUUAAGGAUCAUAGCUGACCCAAUAAGUUAAUGUUUUUAUGGUGCAGAACAGCGAGGAGACAGUAGUCCAGUGGAUUCCACACUGUGCCUGCAGCAGGGCCCUCUAUACUGAGUACUGGCACCAGGUAGAGGGUACCAGGACAGCAAGCCACAGGUGGACAUGUUCAAUUACUUCUGCAGCCCUUGAAAACCCAAUUCUUCGGCCCAGAUGCCCCAGAAUGGCAUCCUCACCGCCUCUCACUCUGAAGGAUCCACCAUGACACAGCGAGAGCUUGGCAUCAAAGACCAACCUUUCUACCUCGCAACAGCGAGAUUAGCCACCUUGAUGGAUGUUAAAGACCAUUACUUAAGUGAUCCUGAAAUUAACAACACUAUUUGUCCUCCUUAGGAAUUGAAGUAAAACUUUAAUCUCAUAAAAUAAUUUAGUCUACAAACAAUACAAUCUUGGGACUGGCUUUUCUAUGAACAUGUUUUGUUGCUGCCUGCUAACAUGGUACCGCAUUCAGAAACUCCUCAGACCAGGAGAGACAGUGUGAGAGGCUGCAGGCCCACUCUGGAGGCAUCACGUACUCCAAUUAGGGCAGUGGUCAACCAUGAAUAAAUCGUGCUCUGUGUGGCAGAAACUUUCGUGUUUAUUCACAACUCAUCACCAAAGGAACCCAAACAACUGGGGCUCUGAAGGAAGGAAUAUAAAGGGGAAACCCAUGGACAGAGGAGGAAAGAAGACACCAGCACCAGACCUCGUUCAUCACAGGCUGGGCAAGGUGGACAGUGAUGAGGACAUUGGUUUAAAACAACAGCUGAAGCUGCCCUCUGCCUCUGCCAGAGGUCAGUGAGGGAAAAGAUGAGCGACCGUCCAGAAUCCAGAGUGAUCAGUGCCUUGGAGAAGCUGGAGAUUAGCACGAGGGAUGCCCAUGAGGGGCCCAGGAUCCAGGAAGGGUAAGGGACAGGUGAGGGCUAUGGGAUGGGGCUGGGUCAUCACAGCAGUGGAAGGAGAUGAGUCCACUGGCGUUGCAGUAGGGCCAUCUGCCCUCCUUCCCUCUCUGCCCACAGGAGGCAGAAGGCCAGGGCGGUGGCCCACCAGGGGCUGGCUGUGUGGUGAUCCUCUGAGAAACUCAAGAGCCCAAGACAAGACAGCUGCUUCCUGACACUUGGGGGUUGCCAUGAGCCACCCGCUCACCCAGCCUGGUUUCCCAAGAGCUCCUGUGAGCGCCUCCUGACUUCUGUUUUGUUUGUUUUUUUGGUACUAGGGAUCGAACUGGGGACCUUGCGCUUGCGAGGCAGGCAAAGGAACCACUGAGCUAAAUCUCCGGCCCACUCCUGACUUCUGAAUGGGAGGUGAGAGGUUGGCAGAUGGCUGACGACAGCUCCAACAUGAUGGCACUGAAAUGAACACCGGGGGGAAAGGGAGACAGAGGGAGCCAGGACAGAGCAGGGGACAGGAUGACCGCUUAGGAAAGUAAGAGCAUCAGAGGACUGCAGAAAGCAUUGCGACUGUUACAUAAUCCCAGGAUUGUACUUCAAAUAGAACAGAAAACAUGAAAAGAGGCCUUAAAAUAAGUGAGAUAACUUGAGUAGCAAAUACAGAAAUAUUCUCCAAGACAGAACAAAAGAUAAAUGCCAGGCGUGGUGGGCAAGCCUGUAAUUCCAGCACUCAGAAGGAGGCUGAGGCAGGAGGAUCACUGCAAGCCAGCCUGUCUGAACCACAUCGAGUCUCUCUCUGCCCCUCUCUCUCUCUCUACACACACACACACACACACACACACACACACACACACACACACACAAAUGACAUGGGCCGGGGAUGCAACUCAGUGACAGAGCACUUGCUAAGCAUGUCUGAGUCCUAGGUUCAAUACCCAGCACCACAAAAAAUUAAUGAUGAAGUGAUGUCCAACAGGAAAGAAAAGAUGAGAAUAUUCUAAGAGAACCAGAAGAUCCAAUGGCCAAAUAAGACGUGUUUCAGAAAGUAAUAAGCAUAAACAAUAAUGCAGGAUUUACUAUUUGUCCAGCAGUGUUCUAAGUAGCUUAGAUAUUUUGAUGAAGUAAUAACUAUUAUGAGUCCCAUCUUAUAGAUGAAGGAACUGAAGCACAGAAACCUUAAAUGACUUGCCCAAGCCACAGUCAGAGAGCAGAGCCAGGGUCUGAACUGAGGAGACUGCGCAUGCAGGUCCUCCAUGGCUCUGCUAGGACAGCAGGGAGGAGAAACCGGCAGGCACUUUCAGGAGCAUUUCCGGAACAGGAGUCAGCAGCCAGACCGGAAGUGUCCACGGAGUGCCAGCAUGAUGAGGACAAGAGCAUCUUUGUCCACUAGGGCAUCUGACGUUUCCAGAUACUAGAGAAAGAGACCCUUCCACAAGUUUCCAGGGAGACAAAUUCCGGAAGGAAGGAGAAUCCCAAUGACAUGGGGAUUCUUAGCGGGAACACUGGAAGCUAGAAGACAAAAAGUAUUAGGUACGCGAUUAUGGAUGAAAAAUAUCAAUGUCGAAUUCUAUCCUUGGCCAAACUCUCCUCCAAAAGUAAAAGUCGGUAGGGCUGGGGGAGUGGCUGAGUGGCAGAGAGGCCGCCUAGCAUGAAUGAAGGUCUGGGUCCCAGGUGCAUUGCUGGAAAACAAUGUAAAGUGGAUGAAGACCCUUCAAGGGGGAAGGACUAAAUUGUGCCUCCCCCCCCUCCUUGGGCUGCACUGUGAUAUGCACCACCGAAAGUGAAGCAGAAACCAAGCAAGAAGGCAGGGGUCAAGGAAAGGGGCUUCUCCUGGGACAAAUUAAGGAGCAGGUCGGGACAACGGCUGGGCAGCCAUCUGUGGGAGGGUGAGCCUGUCUUCACUGGAAUGGGACGGGGGUGGUACGGGAUGUUCCCGGGGUGAACCUGUCAUUUGGAAAAGAAAUCUGAUAGUCAUCUGAGAGAUCAGUGAUAGAAAGAUCCCAGGAUAGGUGCAUAAUAAAUUCAGUAAACAGCUGAAAAGUUCCUAUAAGAAAGAAAACAAUAUUAGUGCACUAGCUGGUUAGCUUGUCUCCAGAAUUUGCAGAGCUGUUCACAACUGAGCCCCUUAACUGUGAAACAGCUGUUUCAGAAGAAGGCAUGGAAAGGAGCAAACUACUUCUGAUUUAGGGAAAGGACUAAAUCAAAGUUGGUCAAAGUACACCUCUAUUGACAAAUCCAGAGACGGCAGGAUAAAGUAUCUAGAAACAGGGAGGUAAAUGACAGAAGACAGCUGAAAGUCAGACGUGGCUGCCUCUAGAAAGAAGAUAGACAAGGUAAGGGAGAGGUGGGUACCAUAGCACGAUAAAAUAUUAUGUUGUCUUUUAAAAAGUAACUGUCCAGGUGCCUGGUUUAAAAAGGAAUAAAACCAUGAAAUUCAUUUGUUGAGAAAGAAAAGAUGGAACAACCAAACCUUGUCUCAUGUAACUUUUCAGGAAAUGUGUGAUCCAUAUAACGCCUUGGAAGAAGUUGCAUCCAGUCUGGUAGUUUUAGGAUGAACUUAAUAAAACGUGGC